This 720-nucleotide ribosomal RNA is filed under the name Brevibacillus brevis. RNAcentral's name for it is "bacterial SSU rRNA". It matches the Rfam family "Bacterial small subunit ribosomal RNA", at positions 65 to 779 of the family's 1533-position model. Lineage: Bacteria; Bacillati; Bacillota; Bacilli; Caryophanales; Paenibacillaceae. The record is from RNAcentral.
AGCGAGGGUCUUCGGACCCUAGCGGCGGACGGGUGAGUAACACGUAGGCAACCUGCCUCUCAAACUGGGAUAACAUAGGGAAACUUAUGCUAAUACCGGAUAGGUUUUUGGAUCGCAUGAUCCGAAAAAAAAAGAUGGCUUCGGCUAUCACUGGGAGAUGGGCCUGCGGCGCAUUACCUAGUUGGGGGGGUAACGGCCUACCAAGGCGACGAUGCGUAGCCAACCUGAGAGGGUGACCGGCCACACUGGGACUGAAACACGGCCCAAACUCCUACGGGAGGCAGCAGUAGGGAAUUUUCCACAAUGGACAAAAGUCUGAUGGAGCAACGCCGCGUGAACGAUGAAGGUCUUCGGAUUGUAAAGUUCUGUUGUUAGGGACAAAUAAGUACCGUUCGAAUAGGGCGGUACCUUGACGGUACCUGACAAGAAAGCCACGGCUAACUACGUGCCAGCAGCCGCGGUAAUACGUAGGUGGCAAGCGUUGUCCGGAUUUAUUGGGCGUAAAGCGCGCGCAGGCGGCUAUGUAAGUCUGGUGUUAAAGCCCGGAGCUCAACUCCGGUUCGCAUCGAAAACUGUGUAGCUUGAGUGCAGAAGAGGAAAGCGGUAUUCCACGUGUAGCGGUGAAAUGCGUAGAGAUGUGGAGAAACACCAGUGGCGAAGGCGGCUUUCUGGUCUGUAACUGACGCUGAGGCGCGAAAGCGUGGAGGAGCAAACAGGAUU